Molecule: ribosomal RNA, 490 nt
Filed under: uncultured bacterium
Lineage: Bacteria
Description: bacterial SSU rRNA
Rfam family: Bacterial small subunit ribosomal RNA
Source: RNAcentral
UUUUAGGAUCGUAAAGCUCUGUUGUAAGAGAAGAACGAGUGUGAGAGUGGAAAGUUCACACUGUGACGGUAUCUUACCAGAAAGGGACGGCUAACUACGUGCCAGCAGCCGCGGUAAUACGUAGGUCCCGAGCGUUGUCCGGAUUUAUUGGGCGUAAAGCGAGCGCAGGCGGUUAGAUAAGUCUGAAGUUAAAGGCUGUGGCUUAACCAUAGUAGGCUUUGGAAACUGUUUAACUUGAGUGCAAGAGGGGAGAGUGGAAUUCCAUGUGUAGCGGUGAAAUGCGUAGAUAUAUGGAGGAACACCGGUGGCGAAAGCGGCUCUCUGGCUUGUAACUGACGCUGAGGCUCGAAAGCGUGGGGAGCAAACAGGAUUAGAUACCCUGGUAGUCCACGCUGUAAACGAUGAGUGCUAGGUGUUAGACCCUUUCCGGGGUUUAGUGCCGUAGCUAACGCAUUAAGCACUCCGCCUGGGGAGUACGACCGCAAGGUUG